RNAcentral lists this ribosomal RNA (1386 nucleotides) under uncultured bacterium. RNAcentral describes it as "16S ribosomal RNA". It matches the Rfam family "Bacterial small subunit ribosomal RNA". The record is from RNAcentral.
UUGAUCCUGGCUCAGGAUGAACUUUAGCGGCAGGCUUAACACAUGCAAGUCGAGGGGCAGCAUGUCCAGCAAUGGAUGAUGGCGACCGGCGGAAGGGUGCGUAACGCGUGAGCAACAUGCCCUAUACAGGGAGAUACACCAGGGAAACUUGGUCUAAUAUCCCAUAGCAUUCAUUGAAGGCAUCUUUAAUGAAUUAAAGCUUCGGUGGUAUAGGAUUGGCUCGCGUGACAUCAGCCAGAUGGUGAGGUAACGGCUCACCAUAGCAAUGAUGUCUAGGGGUUUUGAGAGGAAGGCCCCCCACACUGGGACUGAGACACGGCCCAGACUCCUACGGGAGGCAGCAGUGAGGAAUAUUGGACAAUGGAUGGAAAUCUGAUCCAGCCAUGCCGCGUGCAGGAAGACGGCCUUAUGGGUUGUAAACUGCUUUUAUACGGGAGCAAUAAGGGUUACGAGUAAUCCGAUGAGAGUACUGUAUGAAUAAGGAUCGGCUAACUCCGUGCCAGCAGCCGCGGUAAUACGGAGGAUCCGAGCGUUAUCCGGAAUUAUUGGGUUUAAAGGGUGCGUAGGUGGGCGUUUAAGUCAGUGGUUAAAGCCAAUAGCUUAACUAUUGUAUGCCAUUGAAACUGGAUGUCUUGAAUAGGGUAGAGGUAGGCGGAAUGUGUUGUGUAGCGGUGAAAUGCUUAGAUAUAACACAGAACACCGAUUGCGAAGGCAGCUUACUAUGCCUUUAUUGACACUGAUGCACGAAAGCGUGGGGAUCAAACAGGAUUAGAUACCCUGGUAGUCCACGCUGUAAACGAUGAUCACUCGUUUUUGGCAAUACAUCGUCAGAGACUAAGCGAAAGCAUUAAGUGAUCCACCUGGGGAGUACGUUCGCAAGAAUGAAACUCAAAGGAAUUGACGGGGGCCCGCACAAGCGGAGGAACAUGUGGUUUAAUUCGAUGAUACGCGAGGAACCUUACCUGGGCUUAAAUGUAUAGUGCAUAAUAUGGAAACAUAUUUUUCCUUCGGGACUCUUUACAAGGUGCUGCAUGGUUGUCGUCAGCUCGUGCCGUGAGGUGUCGGGUUAAGUCCCAUAACGAGCGCAACCCUCAUCGCCAGUUGCCAGCAUGUAAUGAUGGGGACUCUGGUGAAACUGCCGGUGUAAACCGUGAGGAAGGUGGGGAUGACGUCAAAUCAGCACGGCCCUUAUGUCCAGGGCUACACACGUGUUACAAUGGCCAAUACAAAGGGCAGCCACCCGGCGACGGGGUGCUAAUCCAUAAAGUUGGUCUUAGUUCGGAUCGGAGUCUGCAACUCGACUCCGUGAAGCUGGAUUCGCUAGUAAUCGUAGAUCAGCCAUGCUACGGUGAAUACGUUCCCGGGCCUUGUACACACCGCCCGUCA